RNAcentral lists this ribosomal RNA (253 nucleotides) under uncultured bacterium. RNAcentral describes it as "partial 16S ribosomal RNA". It matches the Rfam family "Bacterial small subunit ribosomal RNA", at positions 524 to 776 of the family's 1533-position model. The record is from RNAcentral.
UACAGAGGUGGCAAGCGUUGUUCGGAAUCACUGGGCUUAAAGGGUGCGUAGGCGGCUAUCUAAGCAGGGUGUGAAAGCCCCCGGCUCAACCGGGGAAUUGCGUUCUGAACUGGAUGGCUGGAGUGGGAUAGGGGUGUGUGGAACUUCCGGUGGAGCGGUGAAAUGUGUUGAUAUCGGAAGGAACGCCGGUGGCGAAAGCGACACACUGGGUCUCAACUGACGCUGAGGCACGAAAGCCAGGGGAGCGAACGGG